Molecule: long non-coding RNA, 4985 nt
Organism: Tyto alba (common barn owl)
Lineage: Eukaryota; Metazoa; Chordata; Aves; Strigiformes; Tytonidae
Exons: 6
Source: RefSeq, a predicted model, not a curated record
AAGCAGCAAACAUUGGUAGGAAGUUUCAUCGCCUGUAGAAGUGGGUGUGUGUGACCCCAGGGUCUGGACCCAGAAAGACCAUAUUUCAGCUUCUUCUAGAGAUCACACCACUCUGGCUAUGCAUGUUCGUCUUCAAUUGAAAACAGAUCUGGACUGAGGGACUAUUCGAGCUGAUCUUCUCAGGGAGGCCCUGACGAAUGUAACUUUGCAUUUGGCCCAGCUCUGAUUGGGGAGUUUGACCAACCUACCUCCAGAGGUCCUUCCAAACUAAAUUAUUGUACGGCUCGUGAUUUUUCAGCAGGAGCUACUACAGGAGCCUUCAGCAUGUAGGAACAAGCCAGCAGCUGCCCCGCACUGGGGCAGGCUCCCAGGACACCUUCAGCCAUGCCAGAGGAAACCCCGAGUAGGGUUACUGAUGUGAUUAACGCCAGCGUUUUGAAGUCCAAACCAUUCGCACGAGAGAAUUUCUACUUCAGAAGUGCCUCCUACCAGGCUCUGCAUCAGAAACUUGGAUCCUGCAGCCUACCGACCACACAGGUGCCUUAUUAUUGUGAGUGGGAUUUCAGGGAGAAGUGGCUUGCAAAACGUUUUCUCCAAUCUCACCGAGCGGGUAUCACAAGGCAGGAAUCUUAAAGGUUUUCCUUAGAAAGUGAUUGGACAGUUUUUUUUUCUGCCUUCCCCAGCACUAGUCUGCCCAUUGAACUCCCAUGUAUUGGGAUUUCACAGCAAAGUAGUGCUUUUGGGGGUCUGUGUGUCAGAACACUCUUAUGUCAGAGGACAAAGAAAUUGCCAGGACCAGUGGAGGCAUUAGAGAAGGGAACAGGAUGGAGUUUUCAUAGCUGCACAAACCAGUGCUAAAAGAAAAUUACACAAGCAUUGCACAAGGGAGGCUUCACUGGAAGUGUUGCCUCCGGCUCACAUUCCUUUUAAGCUGUUAUAAAACUUUAAAUAUAAUUAAUAAAUAACCAGGCCUCUCAAGUAGAGAUGAGUCCAAAGCUCUGCCCGCUGCAUGAACCGAGUUUGUUAUUUCAGCUCUUGAUAUAAAAGUACAGCAUAUCACCAUGAGCUAUAAUGAGACUCUCAGCUGUAGGCUUGCCAGUUGAGGUCAGCCAGACUGGCCAGGCUGCAUUACUGCUGCAGAGGAAACACAAACCCAGGCGGCUUAAAUAGGUGGGGUAGGCUAAAUCAGAGACCUAAUUCCAAGGCAGGGUGAAGGUACCACCUGCAAACUGCUGUUUGGAUCCAGGGUAAAGAUGACCAUGUCUUCUCCUUGCUACUAACCCACCUGACUUCAGGGAGCUUUCCUCCUUCUCCUCUCCCUUCCCCUUACAACAUCAGCAGUGGCUGAGGGCUCUGUGCUUGCAGGGCUGGGAGAUCAGUGUGGCACUUGCAGCCUUCACCUCAGUGUCCUGCGAUAACAGAAAGGAGGGCCAGGGUGGCAGGAAGAUCAAGGAGUCACUGCAGUGAAGGAAAAAACCUCCACCUCUUAGCUGUGAGACCUGACAGAGUCUUCACCUCUCCCACUGUGUCCUCCAGGCAGUUCUCUAAGGGCAAACAUUUUGACAAUAAUCUUCCCCCUCUUCCUUUUGUUUAUCAGCCUUUACAAAGCUAUUGGUUGGCUCUAGAAUGAAAACUUUCUCUAAUUCUUUAAGUACGUAAAGAAAAUUUUUUAGAGCCAUGUUACAUUUGGGUACUUUUAUCCACUCACAUUCAUUACUAAACUAUUAGACAUCUCUUCUCUGAGAUACUGGUUGCAAUUUGUUUAUUGGUAUGACCUGGAUUAUGGUGUCCCUUUGGCCACUGCUGUGAAAUACUAAUCCCAAACUUAAAACCUGCUUUUCUAAUGUAACAGGCUGUUUAAUGGGCCAAACUGGUCCUGGUGAAGGAUGUAUGACUAGAUACAAAUACAUGAGAGUAUAAAAAGACUACUGUUUUUAUUUGCUAAUUAAGAAUGCUAAUAAAUAAUUAUCAUCUAUUUCAGUCAGGAAUUUAUUGGGUUUUUUAUGUUUCUAAAAAUCAGAUCACCUUUAUCUAAGGGCAUAAAUAAUGGAUUUAAGAGUGCAGCUUCUGACAGCUUUGAAAACAUUAGCUAUGGUUGCUGGUCUGUAGCUGAGACAACAUUGACUCAACAAUUCCCAGAGCUGGGAAAAUCUCUCUGGGUGUCAAAUACCACACAGAAGGUUAAAGAGUGAAUAUAAUAAUUGCUUACUUUAUAUGGUAGUAUUUUUCCUCGUAAGUACAGACUAAAAAAGUCAAUGUAUGAGAAGAAAUAAGCACUGAGUACCAAAUACUCAGCAGGUUACAAGUAGAGAUGAAGAACAGGAAUAUCACUAUAGCUUUAAAAAAUGUUUGGCUGUUGUGAAAUAAUAAUUAAUAUCAGGUCAUGGUUAGACUUGUAAAUUAAUGAUGCAUGACAAAUUGCAGCUCAAAAUUGAUCCAAGGAGUGCAUUAAAAUUAACUGUAAAACAUUUUCCAGGAUUAUCACAGAAAUUAAAGCCCACAGAGUACAUUUGAUGGCUAAUUUGUGACCUUUGGUCAAUGAGCCAUGAUUUCAAGACUAACUCUUGUAGAAAUAUAUUCUUAUAAUAAAUUAAUCUAAUAUUUUACCACAUGUAAAAUGGUGUAAGACAAUCUUACAAUCUACAAAGAACUUACUUGCACUUUGGCUUUGAACUUGGAAAUGUAUGUAUACAAAAAGAAUCCAUUAAAUUUCAAAUUUUACCUAAGAAUAAGAUACAGUAAAAGUCAAGAAGAUUAGAGAAAGAAGAGUCAGGAAAAAUAAGCAGGGUUUGUACCAAGGAUGAUGGUGUAGUUACUCAGCUAAUGCAUUUACGUAUCAUGAGACAAUGGUCUUGGUGGUGGUUGCAGAUUUUCCCCAUCUUCAAUACAGAUAUGAUUUAAGCGUCAUUGACUCAUAUCCUGGGACAGAAGGAAGAAGAACAGAGACUGAGGUUGGAAUAGUAACGAAGAGGACGCUGGCUUAGGAGCUUCUUGUACUUCUCAAAACAAUAUUCUCUUAAAAUCUGUCUACAUCUGUAGCAUCCAGUAUGAUGGAUUUUUUUCCAAAAAAAUUUUGCUGCAUAGCUAUAUCCUAUGAAUGGUAUAAAAUUGCCUUAUCUGCUAUUGUCUCUGUUUAAUAAGAAGCUCUGUGAAUCUUGGAUGACCACAGAGAACAUUUCAGAAACACUCUAUACAGGUUUUGUAACAUCACUGAUGCUCCUUAUUGUGUCCAGAAAAGAUAAAAGAAAAUAUUGCUCUGCUCUUUCUAAAACAAAAAAAAAAAAAAACAAAAAAAAACACCAAAAAACCCCAACAAAUUACAGAUUUCGCACCCAAGCUAAAAAAAAAAAAAAAAAAAAAAAAAAAAAAGAGACACCCUUAAGACCAUAUACAGUAAUUCUUUAUCAACAAUAUUCUUCAUGGGAAUACACUGACGUACUUUUGAGGAGAUGGGAAAAGUUUGCCCCUUUCUUCUACAUGUCUGCUAGCAACCUCUUGCUGCCCUUCCCUUAGAGCAUCUAAACUACAAGACAAGUUGUGUAAGCUCUGGAAGGUUUCUGCUAGCCAUGUUUCCAACCAGAAGUUGCAGUUACAGGUGUUCAUUAAGUGAGCACAGCAACUGGAUCAGGACUUUCAGGCAAUGUAGGGAGAUGACCUGAGUGUAGAGCUUGACUGGUGUUUCCGAGCAGGCCCAGAAAGCAGAACUUUAAUUUGCUGGGAAAAUUCAUGAGUGGAAGUUCAGAUGUCUACAGAAUUCAUAUGUCUGUAGUGCUAAGUGAAUUUUUUGAGAUUUGUGUAUUUUGAAGUUAGUACCCAAACACCACCUAAAUCUAACUUAAGGCAUUUAUGGCCCUUCACCAAUCCAACCCAAUGGCCUCAGAGAGAUUUAGAAGAAAGACCAUAAACCAGGCAAACUUCAACAUCUAUAUUAUACAGAUAUUGCAUGUGUCAAAAAAUAUUUCAGAAACUCGAUAUUUCCAGUUCUAGAUCAGUUGCCCUCACAUCUCACAACUGAUAUUAUUGUGAUCUGCCUGCAAAAGGCAGGACACCAAAUGCAUUUCUGUGGGAUUUUUCAUGUUUCACCCACGAGACUAUAAGCUUCUGAUUAAAUGAUCCCUAAAGGAGAAAGGAGGAAGAGGCAGUAAACCAUUACAUUCAGUUUCACACAGAGGCAGAAAAUAAAUGAAAAUACAGUUGCCGUGUUCUUCUAGCAUUUCUUAAAAAUUACUUGUGUGGAAGAAAACAAUAUAUACACUUUCAAAAAUGCCAGAACAUAAUCCUGAUGAUUCUUUCUGAAGGCAGUUAGAUGCUGAAGAGUGGCUGUAAAAAUGUUUACAGUAUACAUUUUCUUUCACACAUUAUUUGAACAUAAAACAUAGUUCCCCCAUAUUGUUCCUGAAAGUCUGAACUUGCAAUGUCGAAGAUGUUGGGUUUCAGUGGACAAACUUCCGUUAUAGUAUUAGAAUAAUUUGAAAGGAUGGUCCACAAGGAUUAUUUUUCUCUUUUUGCACUUGUGUCUAUAAUGUUGUACCUUAAAAAAAAAAAAAACAAAACAUUAAAUGACAGUAGUCUGCAACAGUGCAAGGGACAGAAAAUGGAUCAGGGAAGGGAGAGACAAGGAUUUUCUUCCCACUGACCUCUUAGCUGGCAGAGUGUGUCCUUCACUUCUCUGUCUACCAGCUUCCUAAUUGUUUUCCCAUAGUAUUGAUUUCCAUUUAAAUGUGCUUUAUGAUCUGAGCAUACCAGUGAAACACACUUCAUAAGAGCAAGAUCAUAUCCUUUGAUAACUCGUGAUAUCACUCAUGCGUUUUAACUUUGGUGCCUACGCGAGCAGGUGUUUUAUCAUUCUUAGGAACAAGCUUCAUGAUUAGAAUUCAUUCACUAUGUGCAUGUCACAAAUAACACAAAAGCCCCUUCUUCUACUUAACAUCUCGAUUCUGUUCACUACAUAAUAAAUACUGUUAUGGAUAGUGCUACCAAAUCAA